CCCGCACAAGCGUGGAGUAUGUGGUUUAAUUCGAUGCAACGCGAAGAACCUUACCUGGUCUUGACAUCCCGGAGACCCUUAGGAAACUAGGGGGUGCUUCCAUCUGGAAGAAUCUGGAGACAGGUGCUGCAUGGCUGUCGUCAGCUCGUGUCGUGAGAUGUUUGGGUUAAGUCCCGCAACGAGCGCAACCCUUGCCUUUAGUUGCCAGCAGUUCGGCUGGGCACUCUAAAGGGACUGCCGGUGUUAAACCGGAGGAAGGUGGGGAUGACGUCAAGUCCUCAUGGCCUUUAUGACCAGGGCUACACACGUACUACAAUGGCCGAUACAAAGGGCAGCGACACUGCGAGGUGAAGCCAAUCCCGUAAAAUCGGUCUCAGUCCGGAUUGGAGUCUGCAACUCGACUCCAUGAAGUUGGAAUCGCUAGUAAUCGUGGAUCAGCAUGCCACGGUGAAUACGUUCCGGGCCUU
This 467-nucleotide ribosomal RNA is filed under the name uncultured Desulfobulbus sp. RNAcentral describes it as "bacterial SSU rRNA". It matches the Rfam family "Bacterial small subunit ribosomal RNA", at positions 920 to 1382 of the family's 1533-position model. The record is from RNAcentral. Lineage: Bacteria; Pseudomonadati; Thermodesulfobacteriota; Desulfobulbia; Desulfobulbales; Desulfobulbaceae.